Molecule: ribosomal RNA, 163 nt
Filed under: Caucalis platycarpos
Lineage: Eukaryota; Viridiplantae; Streptophyta; Magnoliopsida; Apiales; Apiaceae
Description: 5.8S ribosomal RNA
Rfam family: 5.8S ribosomal RNA
About the family: 5.8S ribosomal RNA (5.8S rRNA) is a component of the large subunit of the eukaryotic ribosome.
Source: RNAcentral
AAACGACUCUCGGCAACGGAUAUCUCGGCUCUCGCAUCGAUGAAGAACGUAGCGAAAUGCGAUACUUGGUGUGAAUUGCAGAAUCCCGUGAACCAUCGAGUCUUUGAACGCAAGUUGCGCCCGAAGCCACUAGGCUGAGGGCACGUCUGCCUGGGUGUCACGC